Long non-coding RNA from Homo sapiens (human), 3602 nucleotides. RefSeq lists it as uncharacterized. The record is from RefSeq and is a predicted model, not a curated record. Lineage: Eukaryota; Metazoa; Chordata; Mammalia; Primates; Hominidae. The transcript has 2 exons.
CUCAAAAAAAAAAAAAAAUGUACAUAAUCAUACCUUCCCUCUCUGCCUCACAGGGUGCCUAUGAGGACAAAAAAGGUGGUAUAUGUGAAAGUGCUUCAUAACUGAGCUGGUAAUCCAUAGAUGUCUGGUAUUAGCAAUGUUUUCUAAUAAAAUAAUAAGAGUAAUACUCGUUAUAACCUCUUUGCUUUGACAGUGCCUUUCAUUGCAGCCAUUCAGUAAUUUUGCAGCUUAUUAUCACCUGUAUAACACCCCUGUUGCUACCAUGUCUAAAGGUGCACAAGCAGCCAGCCAGUGAGGGAAGGGGAAGGUCUUUCUUCUCAGCAUGUCUUUAGAGCAGUGAUUCUCUAAGUUGUAGCACACUGGAAUCCCCUGGGGAGCUUCACACAUGCAGGUGUCUAGGUCCCACCCUGGCCAAUUAAAAUUUAAUCUGGUGGGGAGGAACUGGGCACCAGUAUUUUUUUAAAGUUUCCCAAGUGAUUCUAAUAUGCAGCCAAGGUUGGCAACCACUGCUCUUUGGACUAUUUGUACAUCUCAGUGGCUGCUGAAAGUGAUCACAGUUUUAAAAGAACACAGCUUGUGGUUCUGGAAAAAUCCAUCUGCUUUUUCCAGAAAUGUAGUACGUAAGUCAAAUAGGUCUGAGGUCACUUGGGAGAGAAAUCCAAGAGUUGGACUGAGAGCUCAAACCACAAAGAUUCUAAAUGCCACCAUCACUUAGAUAGCUGCCCUUUUUCCUGAACUGCCACUGUUGACAGAUAAGAUGGUGCACACAGCGAGAAUCUGAGCAGCACAGAGCCCCCCAUCCCCAUCACUGUUCCUCCACUAAGCUCCCCUUGAAAACAUUCCACAGGACUUCCUAUUCACGGUGAUUAGAAAAGUGAAUACCUCCUAUUUUAAAAGAAAAAAAUCUCAGAGGAUAAGCACGUAGCCGACGAGUGGCCAAUUCUGUAAUUUUCCCCAUGGAUAAUAAGGAAAUAAUCAUACAUUAUUUAAUAAUGUAUUUUUCCAUUGAAUUCCAAUGUGUCUACAAAUUAUACAUGUUUUAUAUGAUGUUUCACUUUAGGGUUAAGCCAAAUAAGCAUACAUUUAUUUUAUAAAUAUAAAUAUAUUAUCUAUUAAAAUAGUUUCUAGUAAAAACAUAGGUUUAGCUAUUUGACUCAAAUUUCUUAAAGAAGCCAUAGUUAGAAGAAAAUAUCCACUAGAGUAUACUAGACUUUAUGUCUUCGCAGGAGAAGUAACACUUCCUCAUCUGUUUACCUCUCAACUCCCUUCUCCAACUAGAAAUGAAGACACAAGAUAAUAAAAGGAUUUGACUUUUCAGUAUCCCUUUCGAACUGGGCACCACCCAGAAGAAAGAUUCUGUUAACUACUCCCUUUAGAAAUUAUCUCAAGUUUCAGAAGCUUACAAGUGCACAAAAAUGUUUCCUGCCGCCCCCACCAAGAUGGAACAGGGACAAGAAGAACUGAUCUGCAUCAUCCUCUAGAUUCUGUGUGCGCUUCCUGAUCCAUGCCUCCAAAUGACAAGGGUUACAGGCAUGCAGCAAUGAAUGUAGGCAAAAUCCUUUCUGUAUCUAAUUCAAAACACCAGUACCCCCAGUCUAGCAAAGGAAGUGAGAAUGCCCCAACCACUCUAAUCAGGGACAUGGACAGUUCUCCCAGCAGAAGUAAUGAGGGCCUCCUCUUGAGUCAAGAAGAUACUAUCUUCCCUCUGAAUCCACAAAAUGAAUCCACAAAAGCUCUAGUAGCUAAUUUUUCCUUUCAUUAAAAUAAAACAGGUGGUACAGUAAGUAAAGAGCUUAUCAAUUGCACAUUAAACUAGAGGUAAUGGGUACUGUACUCUCUGUAUUACGUUUUCUAUUGCUGUGUAACAAAUUACCCCCAAACACAGUAGCUUGGCACAGCAAAUGUGUGUGACCUCUCACAGCAUCUGAGGGUCUGGAAACUAGUAAGGUGGGGCUGACUCAGGGGCUCUCACAAGGUUGCUGUCAAGUCAGGGCUGCAGUCACCUGAAGGCUUGACUGGGGCUGGAGGAGCCACUUCCAAGUGUGCUCACAGUGUUCAUGGCUUCAGGCCCUCACUGGCUGUUGGCUAGAGUCCCCAUGGCCUCUCCAUAGACUGUCUGCAUGUCCUUUUGACAUGAGAGCUGGCUUGAGAAUUAGUGAUCUGAUAGAUGAGGGGAGAGAGAGAGAGAGGGAGAACAUGAGAACUAAUCUUAAAAAUAAACUCCACUGGGUUCUGCUGUGUCCUAUUGGUCACAUAGAUCAACUCUGCCACAGUGUGGGAGGGGACUACACCAAGGGUGAACACCAGGAGGUGGGGACCAUCACAGGCCAUCUUGAAGGUCACUGACCACAUUCCCCAAUCAAAGGCCUGCCUCCCCAACACAGCCCACCACCACUACCUCAGUCAGAGAACUGGGGACUCAGGAACUUAAAGCCAUCUCAAAGAAAUACAGUUGGGAGACCAUGGUUGCAAAUGAGUCCACGAAAGCUCUAAUAGCUAAUUUUUCCUUUCAUUAAAAUAAAACAGGUGGUACAGUAAGUAAAAGAGCUUAUCAAUUGCACAUUAAACUAGAGGUAAUGGGUACUCUAUAACUCAUUUCCAUUUCAUUGUGCUUUGCUUACUAGAAGCUUUCAGAUUUCCCUGGCAGCAGUUUCAAGGAGAUUCUGAUAGACUUAUUUUGCUUAGAUGCAGACACUGUGCACACUGAGAAGGCUUUUUCUCUGUGUCUGGUCCUAUGUGCAGUGUUAGCGUGGCUGUCAUAGAUUUGCUCUGCGUCUUGCUCUGGCUAUUGUCCUAAAGGCACAAUUUUGGCCAAAUGUAGUUUACUACUUGGUUAAGGGGAAGUGAUGUGGGGAGAAAUCACAGUCCCUCAAGGCCUAACAUCGAGGGAUUUAAAGCCUUAACAACUGCCCAUGCCUACUUCAUUCCAGAGCUCGUCAGAGAACACCCAGCAUAGGACCUGGGCUCUGCGGGCCCUCCCACCUCCCUUAGCUCCUGUGCUACCCAGCCCUUGCAGUACAAGCUGUACCUGUUGUCAACCUCCACUCACCACACCUACCCCAAGCCCAGACCACAUUAACCUCCAUGGCCACAGCUUCCUCUUCACCUCUUUCUGCCCUUUCUAGCUUCCAGCUAACUAAAAAAAUUAUUACCAACAAGGUCAACUGACAGUCUCCAUAUACUUGCCUCUAAAUUUUGGAAGGUAAUUGCUAUAGUUUGAUUAUGGUUUAUUUGACCCCAAUAAAUUUCAUAUUGAAAUUUGAUCCCCAAUGUGGUGUUGUUAGGAGGUGGGGCUUAAUAGGAAGUAUUUUGAGUCAUGAGGCAGAUCCCUCAUGAAUGGCUUGGUGCUGACUUCUUGGUAACGAGUGAGAUCUCAUUUUCUUAGUUCCCGGAGGUGCUAGUUGUUAAAUAAAAAGCCCAGUACCUCUCCUCUCUCUCUUGCUCUCUCUCUCACCCCGUGGUCUCUACAUACCAGCUUCCCUUUGCCUCUUGCCAUGAGUAGAAGCAGCCUGAGGCCCUCCCCAGAGGCAGAUGCUGGUGCCAUGCUUCUUGUACAGCCUGCAGAACUGUGAGCGAAAUAAAUCUCUUUUCUUCAUAAAUUA